Schistocerca americana (American grasshopper) is the source of this 522-nucleotide long non-coding RNA. RefSeq lists it as uncharacterized. The record is from RefSeq and is a predicted model, not a curated record. NCBI's taxonomy places the organism in Eukaryota, Metazoa, Arthropoda, Insecta, Orthoptera, Acrididae. The transcript is spliced from 3 exons.
CAGGCUGUCAGAUACUGCUCGACCUACUAUGACUUGACAGAUGAUGCGUGAAACAUUUGCUGUCAUUUCUAUGGAGCUGAUGUGGAUGAACCAAUAUCUGGGAAGAUUGCAAGAAAAGGUGGCACUACGUUAAGUACACACAUCAAAAAAGGCAGAGGAAAGAAAAAAGUACUGGAAGUUCUACUUGCAGUAAAGGCACUGAAUGGGGACUGACUGAUAUGUUCACGUUUUUACACAAAGUAGAUCAGAAGUGAGAAAACACAUCCAUCGUUGAGGGAAAUGAAGUGCAAAGUCCACGUGGAACGAGAUACAGAGUGGUGUGCCAAACUUCGUCCAAUAACGAUGUUUCUCCAGAAAACCUCGAAGACAUCACACCAUUCAGACCUCUCGUUAACAGGAGACGUCAAAAUGACAAAAUCUUGGAGUCGAUGAAUUCUCGGUGGGCUGACUCAUACUCAACAACUCCAACGCCAUCAAGUGUGGAUAACACCGACAUUGCACAAUCUGGUUACACAGAGACUG